GCCAGGUGUGGUGGCUCACGCCUGUAAUCCUAGCACUUUGGGAGGCCGAGGCAAGUGGAUCACCUGAGGUCAGGAGUUCAAGACCAGCUUGGCCAACAUGGCGAAACCCCGUCUCUACUAAAAAUACAAAAAUUAGCCAGGUGCGCCUGUAAUCCCAGCUACUCANNNNNNNNNNUGAGUAGCUGGGAUUACAGGCGCACCUGGCUAAUUUUUGUAUUUUUAGUAGAGACGGGGUUUCGCCAUGUUGGCCAAGCUGGUCUUGAACUCCUGACCUCAGGUGAUCCACCCGCUUCGG
Molecule: non-coding RNA, 295 nt
Organism: Chlorocebus sabaeus (green monkey)
Lineage: Eukaryota; Metazoa; Chordata; Mammalia; Primates; Cercopithecidae
Rfam family: Metazoan signal recognition particle RNA
About the family: The signal recognition particle (SRP) is a universally conserved ribonucleoprotein. It is involved in the co-translational targeting of proteins to membranes.
Source: Rfam